GAUGAACGCUAGCGGCAGGCCUAAUACAUGCAAGUCGAACGGGUGGUCGCAAGACCACUAGUGGCGCACGGGUGCGUAACGCGUAACCAACCUGCCCCGAUCUGGGGGAUAGCCCGCCGAAAGGCGGAUUAAUACCGCAUAUACCCGCAGCCUGGCAUCAGGCAACGGGGAAAGAUUUAUUGGAUCGGGAUGGGGUUGCGUGACAUUAGCUAGUUGGCGGGGUAAGGGCCCACCAAGGCGACGAUGUCUAGGGGACCUGAGAGGGUGAUCCCCCACACUGGCACUGAGAUACGGGCAGACUCCUACGGGAGGCAGCAGUAGGGAAUAUUGGGCAAUGGGCGAGAGCCUGACCCAGCCAUGCCGCGUGCCGGAUGAAGGCCUUCUGGGUUGUAAACGGCUUUUCUCAGGGAAGAAAAAGACCUUGCGAGGUACACUGACGGUACCUGAGGAAUAAGCACCGGCUAACUCCGUG
RNAcentral lists this ribosomal RNA (472 nucleotides) under uncultured bacterium. RNAcentral describes it as "partial 16S ribosomal RNA". It matches the Rfam family "Bacterial small subunit ribosomal RNA", at positions 28 to 507 of the family's 1533-position model. The record is from RNAcentral.